CCAAAGGCUCUUUUCAGAGCCACUCACUCGGCAGGAAAAGACCUGU
Bos taurus (domestic cattle) is the source of this 46-nucleotide non-coding RNA. The record is from Rfam. Lineage: Eukaryota; Metazoa; Chordata; Mammalia; Artiodactyla; Bovidae.